Long non-coding RNA from Cervus elaphus (red deer), 642 nucleotides. RefSeq lists it as uncharacterized. The record is from RefSeq and is a predicted model, not a curated record. NCBI's taxonomy places the organism in Eukaryota, Metazoa, Chordata, Mammalia, Artiodactyla, Cervidae. The transcript is spliced from 5 exons.
GGAGUAACACAUGCGACUGCACACAGGCCACCAGCAGCAAGGAGUCUUCUCCAACCCAGCAGCUGGAUGAAGGCUUUCCUGCAAGGCCCCCAUUGUCCUCCACUUCACCCGUGGUUUGCCUCCUCGUCUGAGUCGUGCGGCUCCUAGCGUCUGUUCCACCUCUGCACUUCGUAUUGGUGGAGAACCUCAUGGCCAUAAGCUGGGAGGGAGUGGAAGGCAGAGAACUCUUUCCGCUUAGAGCUCAGCUGAGGCUGCACCUGAAGUGUCUACACGUGGGCUCUCCAUGUGGCUUGGAUUCGUAAAGCAUGGCAGCAGGCUCCUAAGAGGGAGCAUCUGAAGAGAAAACUGCAAGACUUUUUGUGAUAUGGCCACAGAGGCUCCAGAUUUCAACUGGUUGAAACAAAUGUACUGAGCCCAGCCCAAAUUCAAGAGUUCUCUUGCCCUGUUCAUCGUGUGAGGACAUGGCAAGAAAGUAACAGCUAUCAGCCAGGAAGAGGGCCUUGACCAGAGCAUAACCAUGCUGGUGCCUUGAAAUUGGACAUCUGAGCCUCCAGAACUAAUAUCAUAUAAAUGGAAUUAUACAGAAAUAGCCUUUCUAACUUUGCUCAAUACAAUGUAUUUUGAGAUUCAUCUAAGCUGUUG